CGCUAGCUACAGGCUUAACACAUGCAAGUCGAGGGGCAGCAUUUCAGUUUGCUUGCAAACUGGAGAUGGCGACCGGCGCACGGGUGAGUAACACGUAUCCAACCUGCCGAUAACUCGGGGAUAGCCUUUCGAAAGAAAGAUUAAUACCCGAUGGCAUAAUUAGACCGCAUGGUCUUAUUAUUAAAGAAUUUCGGUUAUCGAUGGGGAUGCGUUCCAUUAGGCAGUUGGUGAGGUAACGGCUCACCAAACCUUCGAUGGAUAGGGGUUCUGAGAGGAAGGUCCCCCACAUUGGAACUGAGACACGGUCCAAACUCCUACGGGAGGCAGCAGUGAGGAAUAUUGGUCAAUGGGCGCAGGCCUGAACCAGCCAAGUAGCGUGAAGGAUGACUGCCCUAUGGGUUGUAAACUUCUUUUAUAUGGGAAUAAAGUUCUCCACGUGUGGAAUUUUGUAUGUACCAUAUGAAUAAGGAUCGGCUAACUCCGUGCCAGCAGCCGCGGUAAUACGGAGGAUCCGAGCGUUAUCCGGAUUUAUUGGGUUUAAAGGGAGCGUAGGUGGACAGUUAAGUCAGUUGUGAAAGUUUGCGGCUCAACCGUAAAAUUGCAGUUGAUACUGGCUGUCUUGAGUACAGUAGAGGUGGGCGGAAUUCGUGGUGUAGCGGUGAAAUGCUUAGAUAUCACGAAGAACUCCGAUUGCGAAGGCAGCUCACUGGACUGCAACUGACACUGAUGCUCGAAAGUGUGGGUAUCAAACAGGAUUAGAUACCCUGGUAGUCCACACAGUAAACGAUGAAUACUCGCUGUUUGCGAUAUACAGUAAGCGGCCAAGCGAAAGCAUUAAGUAUUCCACCUGGGGAGUACGCCGGCAACGGUGAAACUCAAAGGAAUUGACGGGGGCCCGCACAAGCGGAGGAACAUGUGGUUUAAUUCGAUGAUACGCGAGGAACCUUACCCGGGCUUAAAUUGCAUUUGAAUAAUCUGGAAACAGGUUAGCUGCAAGGCAAAUGUGAAGGUGCUGCAUGGUUGUCGUCAGCUCGUGCCGUGAGGUGUCGGCUUGAGUGCCAUAACGAGCGCAACCCUUAUCUUUAGUUACUAACAGGUCAUGCUGAGGACUCUAGAGAGACUGCCGUCGUAAGAUGUGAGGAAGGUGGGGAUGACGUCAAAUCAGCACGGCCCUUACGUCCGGGGCUACACACGUGUUACAAUGGGGGGUACAGAAGGCAGCUACCUGGUGACAGGAUGCUAAUCCCAAAAGCCUCUCUCAGUUCGGAUCGAAGUCUGCAACCCGACUUCGUGAAGCUGGAUUCGCUAGUAAUCGCGCAUCAGCCAUGGCGCGGUGAAUACGUUCCCGGGCCUUGUACACACCGCCCGUCAAGCCAUGAAAGCCGGGGGUACCUGAAGUACGUAACCGCAAGGAGCGUCCUAGGGUAAAACUGGUAAAAGGG
This 1442-nucleotide ribosomal RNA is filed under the name uncultured organism. RNAcentral describes it as "SSU rRNA". It matches the Rfam family "Bacterial small subunit ribosomal RNA". The record is from RNAcentral.